GAGAAACAUAUAUCGAAUUAGGGAUGCACGUUUACGCCACCCAGGGCACGGCGGCUACGGGUUUACCCCCAGUAAUAGGAAGAUGAGCUCCAGGGAUCUCAUAUAGAUCCAGGCAUUUUUACCCAUUACAACCAGUGAAAGCUAACUUCAAUGCUAAAGUAAAGCUGGUGAACAAGGAAGGAAGCAGUGAAAGGUAAUUCAAAUAGCGACGGCUCCUGUCUUCAGAGCCGUUCGAUGCGUGAUGAGGGGUGGUGGUGUGUCGUAACUCAGGACAAAGCGGUAGGCUGCCAUUAGAUGAAGAUCAGACGGUCGACGACGAGGCCACCGCGCCAACCGCCGGGUGUCGAUUUCUUCAGUUAACAGCAUGACAAGUGUUGAUUUCUUCAGAAGAUGCAGUCUGGUUGUUUCUGAAAAAGGAGAUGUGUAAGUAAUUGGCAUGGCUCUGCCGGUCCGAAUAUUUUGUGUUACACUAGUUUCGGAUGACCGAAAUACUAACCAUCGCACACACAGUAUGAAUGUGAAUGGUGUACUCAUCGAAGCAAUUUUAUUCUGAGCGGCAUCACAAGGCUGAUGAUGGGCUUCAGAUAUACCAACUAGCUGCAGGCUAUGCUUCUUCUAGCCUGGGCAGUGUUUCUUCUUCUUCUUCUUCCUUGCAUGGCUUCAGAUACUCCGUGGACUGGUUGCAAGUCAAUCCAUCACCCUCCUUGGCAGUCGAUUCUGAAAUGUUCUCAAGUCGGUUAACCGGAUAAGAAGAUGGAGCUGGUUCGCAGAGUUGAAGUUCGCUGGGGCCUUAUUACCUUGCAGGAAUGGAUGUUCCUUCCACGCAAGCAAAAUCACUGUGAGCCUGUAGGGUUAAAGGUAGUAUCAUGCAAUUGUGAGCUUCAUAUUUGCUGUACUAUCGUAUCUCUACUUUUCUUCCCCCAAAACAGUAGCUAAUCGUGAUAAUCUGAACUGAUGAUGAAGAACAGUUUGAAGUUUGAGAAACAUACCUGAUUCAGGAAUCCAACUUUGGCCCUUUUCCCUGAUUCCUACUGGUUCAAUCCAUACUGCAGAAACAUAAAAGUUAGUUAUUUGGUUGUAACCGACAUAUGCUAUUUCGUUAGUAACAAGGUCUUGUAAACUUACCGUAAUAAUUCUUACAUGAAAACUGUAUUUUAGUAUGGCCCAUAACUGCAACCUGAGUUUCUUCAGGAGAUUCCUCACAACAAUUUCACACCGUGGAGAGCCAUGAUACCGGCCACAUUAUUGGAGGCGUGCAGCUUGGAGAUCCUUGAAUGGUGGAUCUACAAAACGAAGCAACAUCAUAAUUGAGGCUAGCUAUCAACAGUACAUGCAUGAUGUCCGACUGAAAUAUGUAAAGGAUCAGUCAGUCAGAGCAAGGCACUUCCAGCUCCGUCGCUAGUUAGGCAAGUUUCACAUGAUGUAAACAGUUGAACAGCAAGUGAAUCACUAGUUAGGCAUUAAUCAACAUCCUGAUUCACUGUGGACCUGAUCAGAACAAAUUGCUUUACCUGUAUUCAGCAGUGAUGGGAACAGUAAAAAAAUAAAUCACAGAACACGGAAAACUGUAUGUCCCUAAUCAGUAUAGGAGAUUGGAAAGAUCGAACACCGAAAACUGUUGUAGCUCAAAAAUAGUAAAUAUGUAAUCUUCUAAUAGCUCAAAACUGAAAGCAUAUUGAAUAGGUUGCAAUCAUGCACCUUGAUGCCUUUCUGAAAUUUCAAAAUUGCACAUGCCCAUGCCCUGCAAUGCAUUACCUUUGGACUGCUACUACCCCUAUGAUCUGAAUUAGCUCCAGGGGUGCAGUGCUAUGGUAUGCACGCUAUUCCUGUGAUCCGUUGAUCUCUAAAACCGAACUCUCCAGGUACACCGUCAGUC
Molecule: long non-coding RNA, 1876 nt
Filed under: Triticum aestivum (bread wheat)
Lineage: Eukaryota; Viridiplantae; Streptophyta; Magnoliopsida; Poales; Poaceae
Description: long non-coding RNA (TAES_LNC018692)
Source: RNAcentral